Helianthus annuus (common sunflower) is the source of this 379-nucleotide long non-coding RNA. RefSeq lists it as uncharacterized. The record is from RefSeq and is a predicted model, not a curated record. Lineage: Eukaryota; Viridiplantae; Streptophyta; Magnoliopsida; Asterales; Asteraceae. The transcript has 3 exons.
AGGUUGUUAAUGGAUUCUUCUGGGUGGAAAACCAGUUUCUAAACAUGAUUCAAAGGUCCCCCGUACAACAUCCCUUGGUUUAAUACCCUUGGGAACUGGGUCUGAUUUCGCAAGAACUUUUGGUUGGUCGAACGAUCCUGUUGACGCCAUUGAACGCUUAGAUAUAUUUGUCAGUCCUUAAACUCAUGGAGUAUCAACAGUUUAAAUGAACACAAUAUAAGUAACAAUGAUGAAGUAAUAUAGUAAUUAAGCACACAAUAUUGAAAACCUUCUUUGAGACAUUUAAACAAACACUUGGUGUGCACUAAGGAACCCAUAAGCAAGAAAUGAAAUUUAAAACCAUGGAGCCUAAAAUCAAAAGCCUAAAGUGCAAUCAAGC